GAUGAACGCUAGCUACAGGCCUAACACAUGCAAGUCGAGGGGCAUCGGGAGGGAAGCUUGCUUCCCUUGCCGGCGACCGGCGCACGGGUGAGUAACACGUGAGCAACCUGCCCUUCAGAGUGGAAUAACGUUUGGAAACGAACGCUAAUACCGCAUAACACCAUUGGAUGGCAUCAUCUGGUGGUCAAAGAUUUAUCGCUGAGGGAUGGGCUCGCGUCCGAUUAGGUAGUUGGUGAGAUAACAGCCCACCAAGCCGACGAUCGGUAGCCGGACUGAGAGGUUGAACGGCCACAUUGGGACUGAGACACGGCCCAG
Molecule: ribosomal RNA, 315 nt
Filed under: uncultured bacterium
Lineage: Bacteria
Description: bacterial SSU rRNA
Rfam family: Bacterial small subunit ribosomal RNA
Source: RNAcentral